Molecule: long non-coding RNA, 1220 nt
Organism: Limulus polyphemus (Atlantic horseshoe crab)
Lineage: Eukaryota; Metazoa; Arthropoda; Merostomata; Xiphosura; Limulidae
Exons: 2
Source: RefSeq, a predicted model, not a curated record
UAUAUAUAAGCAGAACCUUUCAGUAUUUAACAAUUUAUCAUAUUUUUCCUUUAAAAAUCUUUAUUUUAUGUGUAGAUAGAAUGGUUAAGAAGCGUUGUCUCGAGGAAAUUUCCUAGAAAACAAAAUCUUUCAGUAUUGAUACAAAAGUUUAAGAAGGUAAAUCACUAUGUUUGUGAUAAUGUUUAAUAUAUGAUACAUGUUUCUUCAACAUAACAUAAGAAGGUAAAUAUGUAUGUUUGUGGUAAUGUUUAAUGUAUCAUACAUGUUUCUUUAACAUAACAUAAGAAGGUAAAUGUGUAUGUUUGUGGUAAUGUUUAAUGUAUGAUACAUGUUUCUUCAACAUAACAUAAGAAGGUAAAUAUGUAUGUUUGUGGUAAUGUUUAAUGUAUGAUACAUGUUUCUUCAACAUAAUAUUACUUGCUGUUUUUGCAUAAAUGUUAAAUACAUUUAUUAUAUUUUUUGAAUUUGGGAGAUAUGUGGUACAUGUAUUUGAAUAAUUUUAAAAUGUAAGUUUAUAAAGCUAUGAUAAGUGAAAUAUAAUAUUUAGGUUAUUCUUACAUAUUCUUGCCAACAAUACUUCACUGAGUUAAAACAUGUGUCUUUCUAGGACAUGAUGGAAAAUAUCUUACCAAAAUAAACUUAGCUAAAUUUAAAAGAUUAAAAGAAAAAUACAACACAUCUUUCUAGUUAAGGAACACCAUCCUGCCAAGAAUACUUAACUAAACUAAAAACACAUAUUUCUAUUUAAGGAACACCAUCCUGCCAAGAAUACUUAACUAAAUUUAAAGCUAAAAACACACUUUUCUAGUUAAGGAACACCAUCCUGUCAAGAAUACUUAACUAAACUAAAAACACAUAUUUCUAUUUAAGGAACACCAUCCUGCCAAGAAUACUUAACUAAAUUUAAAGCUAAAAACACACUUUUCUAGUUAAGGAACACCAUCCUGUCAAGAAUACUUAACUAAAUAUAAAACACAUAUUUCUAUUUAAGGAACACCAUCCUGCCAAGAAUACUUAACUAAAUUUAAAGCUAAAAACACACUUUUCUAGUUAAGGAACACCAUCCUGUCAAGAAUACUUAACUAAAUAUAAAACUAAAAACACACCUUUCUAUCUAGUUAAGGAACAUAAUCCUGCCAAGAAUAUUUAACUAAACUAAAAACAAACUUAUCUAGUUAAGGAACAUAAUCUUGCCAAGAAUAUUUAACUAAACUAAAAAC